AUGACCAAUACGCGAUGGAGCGAAAGUGCCAACCAGAAAGGUUAUGUUCCGGCAAGCUGCCCCAUGCAUCUGCUUGUACGGCAAUACAUGAUGCUUCUUUUCGACCGGGAGACCAGCACAACCUGGCCACAGAGGCGUGACCACGCUCAGAAAGCUAGGAAAGAGUCCAAAUGUUCAAACUGUGGAGUUAUAGGGGGUCAUCGGAAGAGCACCUGCAGCAACCCUAAGGUUACGCUGCAUGUUUUGGAUAAUGGACCGCAACCCACAUGUACUUGUGAUGUCACCACCUUGAGCGCCUAUGUUGUUAUGUUCCGUUGGCUGAUUAAAACGCUGCCUUACCUGGUGUGGCGAGAUGUGCAGUUGCUUUUCAUCUCAUCCACGCGGACGCCAGAGUUUUUGACGCACUGUUACUCGUGCAAUUUGAUUUUUAAACGGGGGGAGAGGGAAGCCACGUGCAUGUACAGGACCGAGACGCCGUCAAUUGUCAAACGGCCUUCCGCUAUCCACGUGCGUACAACCAUUAGUACAGCGCCGAGUACUGGCGUUUUCCGACCACCUGUACGCCCGGAAAUACCCCAUGCGGGCUCACAUCAUGAAACAAGGUAG
Molecule: ribosomal RNA, 606 nt
Filed under: Triticum aestivum (bread wheat)
Lineage: Eukaryota; Viridiplantae; Streptophyta; Magnoliopsida; Poales; Poaceae
Description: partial small subunit ribosomal RNA
Source: RNAcentral